GGAGGAAAAGAAACCAACCGGGAUUGCCUCAGUAACGGCGAGUGAAGCGGCAAGAGCUCAAAUUUGAAAUCUGGCCCCUUUGGGGUCCGAGUUGUAAUUUGCAGAGGAUGCUUCGGGUGCGGUCCCCGUCUAAGUGCCCUGGAACGGGCCGUCAUAGAGGGUGAGAAUCCCGUCUGGGAUGGGCGGCCGCGCCCGUGUGAAGCUCCUUCGACGAGUCGAGUUGUUUGGGAAUGCAGCUCUAAGCGGGUGGUAAAUUUCAUCUAAAGCUAAAUACUGGCCGGAGACCGAUAGCGCACAAGUAGAGUGAUCGAAAGAUGAAAAGCACUUUGAAAAGAGAGUUAAACAGCACGUGAAAUUGUUGAAAGGGAAGCGUUGUCCACCAGACUCGCCCGGGGGGGUUCAGCCGGCACCUGUGCCGGUGUACUCCUCUCCGGGCGGGCCAGCAUCGGUUUGGGCGGCUGGUGAAAGGCCCCGGGAAUGUACCACCCUUCGGGGUGCCUUAUAGCCCGGGGUGCCAUACAGCCAGCCUGGACCGAGGCCCGCGCUUCGGCGAGGAUGCUGGCGUAAUGGUGGUCAACGGCCCGUCUUG
This 589-nucleotide ribosomal RNA is filed under the name Talaromyces verruculosus. RNAcentral describes it as "eukaryotic LSU rRNA". It matches the Rfam family "Eukaryotic large subunit ribosomal RNA", at positions 52 to 656 of the family's 3401-position model. Lineage: Eukaryota; Fungi; Ascomycota; Eurotiomycetes; Eurotiales; Trichocomaceae. The record is from RNAcentral.